ACACUGCUGAGGAGUCCCACAAUAAGACGAAACAACUGUCCAGUAC
Molecule: non-coding RNA, 46 nt
Filed under: Schistosoma margrebowiei
Lineage: Eukaryota; Metazoa; Platyhelminthes; Trematoda; Strigeidida; Schistosomatidae
Source: RNAcentral